CCUACGGGUGGCAGCAGUGGGGAAUAUUGCACAAUGGGGGAAACCCUGAUGCAGCGACGCCGCGUGAGUGAAGAAGUAAUUCGUUAUGUAAAGCUCUAUCAGCAGGGAAGAAAAUGACGGUACCUGAGUAAGAAGCCCCGGCUAACUACGUGACAGCAGCCGCGGUCAUACGUAGGGGGCACGCGUUAUCCGGAUUUAUUGGGUUAAAAGGUUGCGUAGGCGGAUUUUUAAGUCAGCGGUAAAAUGUCCGGGCUCAACCCGGGGCGGCCGUUGAUACUGGGGAGCUUGAGUGGGCGAGAAGGAUGCAGAAUGCGAGGUGUAGCGGUGAAAUGCAUAGAUAUCACGCAGAACUCCGAUUGCGAAGGCAGCAUACCGGCGCCCGACUGACGCUGAGGCACGAAAGCGUGGGGAGCGAACAGGAUUAGAUACCCUGGUAGUC
Molecule: ribosomal RNA, 439 nt
Filed under: uncultured bacterium
Lineage: Bacteria
Description: partial 16S ribosomal RNA
Rfam family: Bacterial small subunit ribosomal RNA
Source: RNAcentral